CUUUAAUCAGUGAAACUGAUCUCCUCNNNNNAAGAAGCGAGGAUAUACUCAUAAGACGAGAAGACCCCAUGGAGCUUAAAACUUAUACCACUGCCUUCAACUAUACCCACAAACCAGGCAAUCAUGGUAACUAGUCUUUCGGUUGGGGCGACCACGGAGAAAAACCAAACCUCCACGAUGAAAGGAGUACCCUAAUUUAAGAGCCACUACUCUAAAAAUCAAUAAAUUGACAUAAAUUGACCCAAACAUUUUGAUCAACGAACCAAGUUACCCUGGGGAUAACAGCGCAAUCCAUUUCAAGAGACCCCAUCGACAAAUGGG
Molecule: ribosomal RNA, 321 nt
Filed under: Plethodontohyla brevipes (Betsileo digging frog)
Lineage: Eukaryota; Metazoa; Chordata; Amphibia; Anura; Microhylidae
Description: partial 16S ribosomal RNA
Source: RNAcentral